GAUUUAACGCUGGCGGCAGGCCUAACACAUGCAAGUCGAGCGGAUGACGGGAGCUUGCUCCUGGAUUCAGCGGCGGACGGGUGAGUAAUGCCUAGGAAUCUGCCUGGUAGUGGGGGAUAACGUCCGGAAACGGGCGCUAAUACCGCAUACGUCCUGAGGGAGAAAGUGGGGGAUCUUCGGACCUCACGCUAUCAGAUGAGCCUAGGUCGGAUUAGCUAGUUGGUGGGGUAAAGGCCUACCAAGGCGACGAUCCGUAACUGGUCUGAGAGGAUGAUCAGUCACACUGGAACUGAGACACGGUCCAGACUCCUACGGGAGGCAGCAGUGGGGAAUAUUGGACAAUGGGCGAAAGCCUGAUCCAGCCAUGCCGCGUGUGUGAAGAAGGUCUUCGGAUUGUAAAGCACUUUAAGUUGGGAGGAAGGGCAGUAAGUUAAUACCUUGCUGUUUUGACGUUACCAACAGAAUAAGCACCGGCUAACUUCGUG
RNAcentral lists this ribosomal RNA (485 nucleotides) under uncultured bacterium. RNAcentral describes it as "partial 16S ribosomal RNA". It matches the Rfam family "Bacterial small subunit ribosomal RNA", at positions 27 to 507 of the family's 1533-position model. The record is from RNAcentral.